This 253-nucleotide ribosomal RNA is filed under the name uncultured bacterium. Its description in RNAcentral is "partial 16S ribosomal RNA". It matches the Rfam family "Bacterial small subunit ribosomal RNA", at positions 524 to 776 of the family's 1533-position model. The record is from RNAcentral.
UACAGAGGGUGCGAGCGUUGUCCGGAAUCACUGGGCGUAAAGGGCGCGUAGGUGGCGACCCAAGUCGAUGGUGAAAGCUCGCCGCUCAACGGCGAGUCGGCCACCGAUACUGGGUUGCUGGAGCACUGUAGAGGCAGAUGGAAUUCCGGGUGUAGCGGUGGAAUGCGUAGAGAUCCGGAAGAACACCGGUGGUGAAGGCGGUCUGCUGGGCAGUUGCUGACACUGAGGCGCGACAGCGUGGGGAGCAAACAGG